UACGUAGGGCGCAAGCGUUAUCCGGAAUUAUUGGGCGUAAAGAGCUCGUAGGCGGUUUGUCGCGUCUGCCGUGAAAGUCCGGGGCUCAACUCCGGAUCUGCGGUGGGUACGGGCAGACUAGAGUGAUGUAGGGGAGACUGGAAUUCCUGGUGUAGCGGUGAAAUGCGCAGAUAUCAGGAGGAACACCUAUAGCGAAGGCAGCUUGCUGGGACGUUACUGACGCUAAGGCGCGAAAGCGUGGGGAGCGAACAGG
RNAcentral lists this ribosomal RNA (253 nucleotides) under uncultured bacterium. RNAcentral's name for it is "partial 16S ribosomal RNA". It matches the Rfam family "Bacterial small subunit ribosomal RNA", at positions 524 to 776 of the family's 1533-position model. The record is from RNAcentral.